AGCGAACGCUGGCGGCAGGCCUAACACAUGCAAGUCGAACGAACUCUUCGGAGUUAGUGGCGGACGGGUGAGUAACACGUGGGAACGUGCCUUUUGGUUCGGAAUAACUCAGGGAAACUUGUGCUAAUACCGACUGUGCCCUUCGGGGGAAAGAUUUAUCGCCAUUAGAGCUGCCCGCGUCGGAUUAGCUAGUUGGUGAGGUAACGGCUCACCAAGGCGACGAUCAGUAGCUGGUCUGAGAGGAUGACCAGCCACACUGGGACUGAGACACGGCCCAGACUCCUACGGGAGGCAGCAGUGGGGAAUCUUGCGCAAUGGGCGAAAGCCUGACGCAGCCAUGCCGCGUGAAUGAUGAAGGUCUUAGGAUUGUAAAAUUCUUUCACCGGGGACGAUAAUGACGGUACCCGGAGAAGAAGCCCCGGCUAACUUCGUG
Molecule: ribosomal RNA, 433 nt
Filed under: uncultured bacterium
Lineage: Bacteria
Description: partial 16S ribosomal RNA
Rfam family: Bacterial small subunit ribosomal RNA
Source: RNAcentral